CAGCCGCCGCGGUAAUACGAAGGGGGCUAGCGUUGUUCGGAAUUACUGGGCGUAAAGCGCACGUAGGCGGACAUUUAAGUCAGGGGUGAAAUCCCGGGGCUCAACCCCGGAACUGCCUUUGAUACUGGGUGUCUAGAGUAUGGAAGAGGUGAGUGGAAUUCCGAGUGUAGAGGUGAAAUUCGUAGAUAUUCGGAGGAACACCAGUGGCGAAGGCGGCUCACUGGUCCAUUACUGACGCUGAGGUGCGAAAGCGUGGGGAGCAAACAGGAUUAGAUACCCCGGUAGUCCCUGUCUCUUAUAU
Molecule: ribosomal RNA, 301 nt
Filed under: uncultured bacterium
Lineage: Bacteria
Description: partial 16S ribosomal RNA
Rfam family: Bacterial small subunit ribosomal RNA
Source: RNAcentral